UAACCUCUACACCAACCUUACCCCUCCCCCUCUUCCUGGAGGAGCUAAAGCAGAAAGUGCCGUUCCGUGAUUCACUGGACAGAAAAGAGGGAGGAGGCGGCAAAGAACGCCUGGUGCCAAAACUAAGUAAGUUGGCGGACAAAACGCACCCAUCUUUCCGCGCCUCGGCCGGGUGCACCAACUCCGCGGAGACCUGCUGGGCUCGGCGUGGAACGGCCACCCGGGCGGGGACUCCGCUUCGCGCCCCCAAGCGCUCCAGCGGCCCGGAGACUCGGUGCCCGACGUUCCUGGACGAAAAGGGGGGUUAGCGGCGGAAAGAAAUCAGGAAACUGGGCUUUUUCCCCCCCCUCGCUUCGCCGCCUAGUGUCGGGGAGAUUGGCAAACGCUCUGGAGAGGACCGGGAGAAAUAGCCCUGGAAAAGUGGAGAGAGUGGUCAGGAAGUCAGUCCCCUUCAGGCAGCUGUUUAUCUGCUAGAGCCGGGGCGAGGCGUGGCGGCCCGACUUCCAGGGCUUUCCAGGUGCGGGUACGCCGGACGGCGGGUCCCAGCGACCCGCGCGCGCCCGCGAGAGCCUCGCCCCGCAGCGUCCAGGGCGCUCUGGCAGGGAAAGCCCCCACAGAAGGGGGCUCUCAAUGCCUUACUAGACUUUUUUCUCCCGACAGCUUUUGGGUGGAAGCAUUAACUUUGCGUGGAAGCCGCUCGCUCGGGGGAGCGGGGAGGAGGAGAAAGUGAAAAUUGGAGGAGAAGAGCACUCCUUGUUUUUCCGACGUCUCACCACUUCUACAAGGUUGACGUUGUUGGAUGUGGUGACAGCUGAGAGGGGCGCAGGACUUGUUUCCAAGUGGAGCCGGUCCACCGCCUGCUCGGUCGACCCCUCCCGCGUGCAUGUGGGCGGCGGCGGCGGCGUGCGGUGCGUGGUUCUGCCAGUGGACUCUCAGCCGGGACCCGAGUGAAUGGCCCCCAGGGGCUGUGCGGGGCCUCCGCCUCCCCCGCCUCCUCGAGCCUGGGUCUGGCCGGGAAAGAUGCUAGCCAUGGGGGCGCUGGCAGGCUUCUGGGUGCUCAGCCUCCUGACCUAUGGUUACCUGUCCUGGGGCCAGGGCUUGGAGGAGGAGGAGGAAGCGACCUUUCGAGCUCAGUCUGGAGAGAGACCGGAGCCCAGUACGGCUGCCACCUCCCAACCCCAUCUCAUUUUCAUCCUAGCGGAUGAUCAGGGAUUCAGAGAUGUGGGUUACCACGGCUCGGAGAUCAAGACUCCCACUCUUGACAGGCUUGCUGCCGAAGGCGUUAAACUGGAGAACUACUAUGUCCAGCCUAUUUGCACACCGUCCAGGAGUCAGUUUAUUACUGGAAAGUAUCAGAUACACACCGGACUUCAACAUUCUAUCAUAAGACCUACCCAACCCAACUGUUUACCUCUGGACAAUGCAACCCUACCUCAGAAGCUGAAGGAGGUUGGCUAUUCAACACAUAUGGUUGGAAAAUGGCACUUGGGUUUUUAUAGAAAAGAAUGUAUGCCCACCAAGAGAGGAUUUGAUACCUUUUUUGGUUCCCUCUUGGGAAGUGGUGAUUACUACACACACUACAAAUGUGACAGUCCUGGAAUGUGUGGCUAUGACUUGUAUGAAAAUGACAAUGCUGCCUGGGACUAUGACAAUGGCAUCUACUCCACACAGAUGUACACUCAAAGAGUUCAGCAAAUCUUGGCUUCCCAUGACCCCAGAAAGCCUAUAUUUUUAUAUAUUGCCUACCAAGCUGUUCACUCACCACUGCAAGCCCCUGGAAGGUAUUUUGAACACUAUAGAUCCAUUAUCAACAUAAAUAGGCGGAGGUAUGCUGCCAUGCUUUCCUGCUUAGAUGAAGCAAUCAACAAUGUGACCCUGGCUCUGAAGACAUACGGUUUCUAUAACAACAGCAUUAUCGUAUACUCUUCAGAUAAUGGCGGUCAGCCCACAGCAGGAGGAAGUAACUGGCCUCUCAGAGGUAGCAAAGGCACAUACUGGGAAGGGGGCAUUCGGGCUGUUGGCUUUGUGCAUAGUCCACUUCUGAAAAACAAGGGAACAGUGUGUAAGGAGCUUGUGCACAUCACUGACUGGUACCCCACUCUGAUUUCACUGGCUGAAGGACAAAUUGAUGAGGACAUUCAACUGGAUGGCUAUGAUGUCUGGGAAACCAUAAGUGAAGGCCUUCGUUCGCCCCGGGUUGAUAUUUUGCAUAACAUUGACCCCAUUUAUACCAAAGCGAAAAAUGGCUCCUGGGCAGCAGGCUACGGGAUCUGGAACACCGCCAUCCAGUCGGCCAUCAGGGUGCAGCACUGGAAACUGCUUACAGGAAACCCUGGCUACAGUGACUGGGUUCCCCCUCAAUCUUUCAGCAACCUGGGGCCCAACCGGUGGCAUAACGAACGAAUUACCUUGUCGACUGGCAAAAGCGUAUGGCUCUUCAACAUCACAGCUGACCCAUAUGAGAGAGUGGACCUGUCUCACAGGUAUCCCGGAAUCGUGAAGCAGCUCCUACGGAGACUGUCACAAUUCAACAAAACCGCAGUGCCUGUCAGGUACCCCCCCAAAGACCCCAGAAGUAACCCUCGGCUCAAUGGAGGAGUCUGGGGACCGUGGUAUAAAGAGGAAUACAAGAAAAAGAAGCCAAGCAAAAAGAAGGCUGAGAAAAAGCAGAAGAAAAGCAAGACAAAGAAGAAACAGCAGAAAGCAGGUUCAUUUCCAAAUUGCCAUUCAGGUGUUUGCCAUUAUCGUGGAUAAGUACACAUUUUUUCCAAAAUUGGUUAAACUUAAGUCAGUCUUAGUCUUUUAGCUGUUUUCUAGGUAAACCAGCAAAUCUGGCUCAAUAAUAUCACUGCCAUUAGCACCAGACUUAUUUUCAUGUCAUGGUCACAAGGAAAACAGGUCUAUUUGCUGCCAAAGGUGCUACCAUUGCAAGCCACACUUGGAGGUUGGAUAGAGACGUUUAUUCCUUUUGCUCCUUUAUGAAAGUGCUCAUUAAGGAUUUCAGCUGUUGUGCUUCAGUCAAGGGACCAAACCCUUGCUUUCAACUGCAAUCAGAGGAGAUAAAACUCCCGUGAAAAGUGCCCUCCCUAUUCAAGAGGAAAGAAGACAUGCUUGUCACCAGAGAAGGGUUUUGCUCAAAGACCUAAGAGUUAACUUAGCCUUUCAAAGAUUACAGUGACAGUUGCUAAGAUAAGCUAUUAUUUCCCAGCUGGGAGAAGUGGCUGCAGUGACAGUCAGACUAGGUAAGUGAAUAAGUGGAGAGGUUUUUCCCUGUUUUUUUUUUCUUUGGCUCCAUGCCUGUGUACUUCCUAGCAUCUGAACUAUGGUUGGGCUGUUUCUUUCUGUCCUCUAUGGCUCCAUAUUUUACAUUUUUAGUACCUUCAUUAUCCAUCCCUGAGUCCCACACCACUUCCUGCCACAGAACUAGGCACAAAGACACCUGUGUCCAACAGAUUAUGGAAUCCAACAGAUUCCUCCCCUUUUAAAUUUCCCAUAAAGAGAUAAGUGUGUAGAGCUACCCUCAUCCCCACCGGUGACAGGACGUCCUAAGCCCCACACUUAAACCUUUAGCAGCAGAGAUCAUGUUAGAAGGGGAGCUGGGGGGAGGAAGAAGAAGUGUUUCCACAGGAAUAAGGUGAGAUACAUCUCCCUUCAGGUUUGAGCAGCUUAGCAGCUGCUGUUAGGGUACGGAGUCGACCACCCCUCAAUUAGACAGAGAACACUCUCAAUAAUGCAAGUCACACAGCGAGGUUUUUUUUCCAACUAGUUGGGGUCCAAGUAUCCCCCCCGCACAGCAGGUUUCAACAAGGACCCUGAGCACUCAAAGCCAAGAGUUUAUAUAGCAUUUCCAAGGCACUUUCCCAUAGCUACAUACAUAUCUUG
This is an RNA transcript of Neogale vison (American mink), 3882 nucleotides long. It is a transcript of the gene named arylsulfatase family member J, with no coding region annotated. The record is from RefSeq and is a predicted model, not a curated record. The transcript is spliced from 4 exons. NCBI's taxonomy places the organism in Eukaryota, Metazoa, Chordata, Mammalia, Carnivora, Mustelidae.